AGGGAUUGCCUUAGUAACGGCGAGUGAAGCGGCAAAAGCUCAAAUUUGAAAUCGGCCACCAGGUCGAGUUGUAAUUUGUAGAUUGUAUCUUGAGAGCGGAUUAAAGUCUGUUGGAACACAGCGCCUUAGAGGGUGACAGCCCCGUAAAAUCUAUUCUCAUUGUAAGAUACUUUCGAAGAGUCGAGUUGUUUGGGAAUGCAGCUCUAAGUGGGAGGUAAAUUCCUUCUAAAGCUAAAUAUUGACGAGAGACCGAUAGCGAACAAGUACUGUGAAGGAAAGAUGAAAAGCACUUUGAAAAGAGAGUGAAAAAGUACGUGAAAUUGUUAAAAGGGAAGGGUAUUGAAUCAGACUUGGUGCUGNUGUUCAACUGUGUU
This 374-nucleotide ribosomal RNA is filed under the name Geotrichum candidum. RNAcentral describes it as "eukaryotic LSU rRNA". It matches the Rfam family "Eukaryotic large subunit ribosomal RNA", at positions 70 to 458 of the family's 3401-position model. Lineage: Eukaryota; Fungi; Ascomycota; Dipodascomycetes; Dipodascales; Dipodascaceae. The record is from RNAcentral.